UACGUAGGGAGCGAGCGUUGUCCGGAAUUACUGGGUGUAAAGGGAGCGUAGGCGGGACGGUAAGUCAGAUGUGAAAGGUGGAAGCUUAACUUCCAAGCUGCAUUUGAAACUGCUGUUCUUGAGUGAAGUAGAGGUAAGCGGAAUUCCUGGUGUAGCGGUGAAAUGCGUAGAUAUCAGGAGGAACACCGGUGGCGAAGGCGGCUUACUGGGCUUUUACUGACGCUGAGGCUCGAAAGCGUGGGUAGCAAACAGG
This 253-nucleotide ribosomal RNA is filed under the name uncultured bacterium. RNAcentral's name for it is "partial 16S ribosomal RNA". It matches the Rfam family "Bacterial small subunit ribosomal RNA", at positions 524 to 776 of the family's 1533-position model. The record is from RNAcentral.